This 253-nucleotide ribosomal RNA is filed under the name uncultured bacterium. RNAcentral's name for it is "partial 16S ribosomal RNA". It matches the Rfam family "Bacterial small subunit ribosomal RNA", at positions 524 to 776 of the family's 1533-position model. The record is from RNAcentral.
UACGGGGGGGGCAAGCGUUGUUCGGAAUUACUGGGCGUAAAGGGCUCGUAGGCGGCCAACUAAGUCGGACGUGAAAUCCCCCGGCUUAACCUGGGAACUGCGUCUGAUACUGGAAGGCUUGAGGAUGGGAGAGGGAUGUAGAAUUCCAGGUGUAGCGGUGAAAUGCGUAGAUAUCUGGAGGAAUACCGGUGGCGAAGGCGGCAUCCUGGACCAUUACUGACGCUGAGGCGCGAAAGCUAGGGGAGCAAACGGG